GACAGAGGUCUCAAGCGUUGUUCGGAUUCAUUGGGCGUAAAGGGUGCGUAGGUGGCGGGGCAAGUCUGGUGUGAAAUCCCGGGGCUCAACCCCGGAACUGCACUGGAUACUGCUUUGCUAGAGUACUGGAGAGGGAACUGGAAUUUACGGUGUAGCAGUGAAAUGCGUAGAUAUCGUAAGGAAGACCAGUGGCGAAGGCGAGUUCCUGGACAGUUACUGACACUGAGGCACGAAGGCCAGGGGAGCAAACGGG
Molecule: ribosomal RNA, 253 nt
Filed under: uncultured bacterium
Lineage: Bacteria
Description: partial 16S ribosomal RNA
Rfam family: Bacterial small subunit ribosomal RNA
Source: RNAcentral